GACGAACGCUGGCGGCGUGCCUAAUACAUGCAAGCAGAACGCUGAAGGAGGAGCUUGCUUCUCUGGAUGAGUUGCGAACGGGUGAGUAACGCGUAGGUAACCUGCCUGGUAGCGGGGGAUAACUAUUGGAAACGAUAGCUAAUACCGCAUAAGAGUAGAUGUUGCAUGACAUUUGCUUAAAAGGUGCAAAUGCAUCACUACCAGAUGGACCUGCGUUGUAUUAGCUAGUUGGUGGGGUAACGGCUCACCAAGGCGACGAUACAUAGCCGACCUGAGAGGGUGAUCGGCCACACUGGGACUGAGACACGGCCCAGACUCCUACGGGAGGCAGCAGUAGGGAAUCUUCGGCAAUGGACGGAAGUCCGACCGAGCAACGCCGCGUGAGUGAAGAAGGUUUUCGGAUCGUAAAGCUCUGUUGUAAGAGAAGAACGAGUGUGAGAGUGGAAAGUUCACACUGUGACGGUAUCUUACCAGAAAGGGACGGCUAACUACGUGCCAGCAGCCGCGGUAAUACGUAGGUCCCGAGCGUUGUCCGGAUUUAUUGGGCGUAAAGCGAGCGCAGGCGGUUAGAUAAGUCUGAAGUUAAAGGCUGUGGCUUAGCCAUAGUAGGCUUUGGAAACUGUUUAACUUGAGUGCAAGAGGGGAGAGUGGAAUUCCAUGUGUAGCGGUGAAAUGCGUAGAUAUAUGGAGGAACACCGGUGGCGAAAGCGGCUCUCUGGCUUGUAACUGACGCUGAGGCUCGAAAGCGUGGGGAGCAAACAGG
This 763-nucleotide ribosomal RNA is filed under the name uncultured Streptococcus sp. Its description in RNAcentral is "bacterial SSU rRNA". It matches the Rfam family "Bacterial small subunit ribosomal RNA", at positions 28 to 776 of the family's 1533-position model. Lineage: Bacteria; Bacillati; Bacillota; Bacilli; Lactobacillales; Streptococcaceae. The record is from RNAcentral.